This 200-nucleotide long non-coding RNA is filed under the name Malus domestica (apple). RNAcentral describes it as "long non-coding RNA (MDOM_LNC011542)". Lineage: Eukaryota; Viridiplantae; Streptophyta; Magnoliopsida; Rosales; Rosaceae. The record is from RNAcentral.
AUCAGAACCAAGGCGUCCCGAACGCUCGGCUCCUAAAACAGUUAUCAAACCACGUCUUAGAACUCUUAUCCAUAGAAUAUGAAAUUCACAUAACACACAUCCACAAGGGCAUUCAAGAAUAAUGCGAGACCCGUUGAUCAAAGGUCAACCGUCGACUAAGUUCGACGGUAGAGUCAUAACCCCACAUAACUCAAUCUGAA